Molecule: long non-coding RNA, 16597 nt
Organism: Dermacentor silvarum
Lineage: Eukaryota; Metazoa; Arthropoda; Arachnida; Ixodida; Ixodidae
Exons: 2
Source: RefSeq, a predicted model, not a curated record
CUGGCUUCAAACAACAAAGAGCUUCCCCUAGAAUUAUCGUAGAUAUUUUCUUUUGCAAUUUCUUGCUUGAAAGUUCGGUAUGUUCCCAGUGCUGAUUUCGUCUGCAUCCCUGUUUUCCACAGCCCCCUCUCUGUUUCCUUAACAUUUUUCUUAACCGCUGUUUCCUGGUUUGCACCAGGAUGGCCACCGCACAGGCGGUGCGCCGUCUAGCGGGCGCCCUUUGAAUUAUAGCACAGCUGCGCCUCUAGCGGGAGCAAUGAGAACUAGUGUACACGGCGCAAGGGACCGAGCCCCGUCUAGAGGAGCUUCGCCCCUAAAAAAGGGGAGGCAGACUGGUCGCUGAACAGGCGAGCGCUCGCGCGUGCGCAGCCGUCUUCACUCGUUUUGGUGGCGUCUGGCUCAUGACACAUGCAUCAUUGGCCUGUCGCUAGGUAAAGCAAGAAAAAUAAGUCGCGAAGUAUAAGUUCAUUUAUAUGCAAAACUUUACUUUUCACGGCAAAGAAUUGAAAAAAUAAAACCUAAUUUCACUUUUUUUUUUGUAUGCUUGCGGAAGCUAUCGGAUGGCAUCAAUACUAGCGUGACGCGUUUGAGAGAAUCGUAAGUAGGUAACGUAAAGUUGUUACUGGUGCUUUGGCGCUGAUGUUGGAUUGCGUCGAGGUACUAGUUGAAGGUCUUGCUUCCAUCGCUUAUCAAGAGAGAGAGAUUAUAGUUGGAAAGGGUGAAAGAUUGGGUUAAAGUGCAGCGCGAUAACUGUCUCUCAAUAGAAGACACCUCAACCGCGCUGCACAGGGGGAUGGGGAGUGAAAGGAAAGAGAAGGGAAAGAGGUCGCAGGCGCAGGAGCGGAAGCCGCAGCAGCAUCAUCUAAGGCGCAGGCACGUGGGGUUUACGUCGCACACUGUCGGAAACGAGAACAGGUCGUAAGGAAAAAAAAAAAGUAACAACAACACCAACAACAAUAAAAACAAUAACAACAACAAACAAACAGAGAGACACCCGCCAGACCCCAACGCCAACACAGCACCCGGGCGGCCCCGAAAGAGCCGCCGGGAGCCCACACGGGAGGCCUACAGGCGGUCGACCAAACCCACGUCGUCGGCAAAGUUCAGCAGUGCGUGGAAGAGUUUGCCGUGGCUCGAUGUGUAGCCCGAGGGGUGCAAGACGUCCUCCACCGUCACUGUGACCGCCGACGAACGCAAGAGAAGAGAGUGGAGCCCGCGCCAACCCACUUUAUAUUCCUAGCGCGCGCAUUAGAGGGAGAGGGGGUGGAGAGAGGGCGCGCUAUCACGCCAGCACCUGCUGUUGCUACGGUGCUUGCAGCGCCGGAGCGCGACUCAACUACGACGCUUCGCGCGCUGCACAUGUGCUGCAAGCGUGAUGCGGGAGAGGAGUGGGGGAGAGGACACACCUGUGCUCGAGCUGUUGCGGACGGACGGCGCACGCUACAUGUGAGUUAAAGAAAUGCUCUGCAUUUAAAAUAUUUCACCAACAUACAGUACCGACAGAUUUUUUGGGCUCCAAAGGUUCGGACUUGAUGGAUAUUCCGGACUUCAUAAGUGCACUGUCAGGGUUCCCAUAGAGCUAAUGCAUUUUCGCGAUUGAUUUUUGGGACUAAUUUAGGGCCCAAAGUUCUAUUUUCUGGACUAAAUCGCUCAUUCCAAGCCACGCUACCCGAUCAUGGAGGCUGCCAUGUUCAAUUUUCCACUAGCUUGGCCAGGCUUGACUUUCGAUGGCCCGCUCUGUAGCCUCCAAGAUUGGGAGGCCAUGCUUUCAAUGCAUGGUUUUCACGUGACGUCACACCGUCUGCUAAUAUUCAUCCGGCAUGCAUGUUGGAUCAUUGCAACCAGUGUGCACCACUGUUGGAACACCGUAUCUGCUGUCUUUCGGUGUUGAAUUUGCAAUUUGCAAGCUAUCGCGUAAUAAAUGACGCCGCUGGCCAGCCAGAAGGAAUUCUGUCCGUCAUUUUUUGCCGGGCUUGUUGGUCUGACGCGUGCUCGCUACGAAGCAAAAGUCAACAUGUUCAAUGGCAUUGAUCUGUGCACGUUGUGCACCGGGCCCAACAUGAUGACGGACGUCAACCUGCUACCAAUUCCGACGCAUGCUGACAUUGUAAAAUAUUUGGUGCUGUCGAACCACGUAUCGCUUACUGAAGGGAAAGCGUACAGGUCCCUUGAAGCUCACAACUCUGCUUCAACAUGACAAGUAUACCACAGUUCUAUGUCAUGUGUUUGUUACUGCAUCUGCCACCCUACCCGUCAGAAAUAAAUAUAGGUUAUGAAAUCCUGAGGGCGGAUACCAAUCAAAUAUUUUGCUGUAUUGUGACCAAGUCAUUACGUAGCUCUAGGGAACAUGGCCGCUCAAUUUUAAUCUCAAUACGGUCAAUAAUCAUGGCAGUCUUAACGCCUAACGAGUCUACAGAAGCUUGUGGCAUGGUCUUUUAAAUACAAUUCCUGAACAGCCAAAAAUCUGAGACUUCUGACUCUAAAAGGCAGCAUUUAACCACUUUUCUAAAAUUUGGCUUGAUGCAGCGAACCUGUAACCGAGGUCUUGCAGCGAAAAAUUCAACUUUAGUUCUAUUAGGAACACAACUCCUGCAAUUUGCUGAGGCCAUUUUGCUGUUUGUGCUUCACAACAGACUCAACAAUCUGAAGAACGGCAAAGAGCCUAGUAAAACUAUACAAGCCAGUGCAGAAGACAACUUUGCCAGGGUCAUCUGAGUGAAGCCUCUGUCACGUUAAGUUUCUUUUUUUUUUUUUUUUUUUUUUGUUCCUUGACCCCCUGCAGCUCGAAUGCAAGCCUCCUCCUGUCCUCCUCCUAAGUGCUAACGUAAGCCAUGGCGACUUCAGUUUGCACAGCAGCUUCUGUAAAAACAAAACCAAUUUGGGGGCAUGAAAAUACAGCUAACAUUUUUGUGUCACAGUGCAUUUUGAUGCCUUGUAUAGUCCUCAUCUGCAUGGGCCAAAACUGUUGGCCUGCAGUAUUCUGAAAUAAAUAAAAGAAGUGCUGCUAUUUACUGGAUUGAAGAGUUAGUUUGUGAGGAAACAUGUAACUGAAGUGGUCUCGCUGGAACAUUCAGCAGGUGUCUCUUGCUUGAGUGGUCAUUUGCAUCGAACAUUUCAGGCAAAGGGUGGUCAGCCUCUGCUGGCUAAGUGGUCACUGCUGGGGCCACCGCUUAUUUCACCGGCUGAUCCUUGGCGCGCUUGUACCAAGCUGUAGACUUAAUGCCCAGUCCUGCACCAUUGCUGUGCUCUAAGAGCCGGCUCGGCGCCCAGUUUGGGUUGGGGUCAAUCAUUAGACUCGCUGGCUUCCCUGCAAAUGACAAAACAUCGGCACACUUGCCGCAAGCGAGCUGCAGUCUCUCGGAUAUGGUAAAACCUGCUGCUCCGCUGUGUCUGAAAUCGUAACUGUCUUGUUACAAGUUGCCAUGAACAGCGUAAAAUUACAGACAGCACUCACAAUCACGAUCUAGCCCAAUACAGAUAAUUUUUCUAUUGCAGUCUAGUAUGAUGGCUGCGACACAUGGUACAAACAAUUCACGUCGAGCUGGUUAAACUCGGUAUGAUGGUACAGACAAUAAAUAACCUCCUAGCGCAAUCGCGAUGCGUGGAUCACAAUCGACGGUGUUUGUGCAGCAGCAGCCAAUCUGGAACGGGCUCGAAUGCGACCCGAAGCGCUCCCGUGUGAGGGUUAAAUCACCAACGACUGUAAACACAGCGACGAGUGCGUUUGCAGGCGAUUGUAAGCGCUGUCUAACUUUUUUUAGUAUUGACUUAAUCCUGUGUUGGCUUACCUGAAAUGAAAUGGCGACUGCACACACGGACCUUUCUGCUGGUGAGUGCGUAACAAUCGCGUGAUAAUGGUGCACACUCGCUCCUAAAAUAUGAGGGUGCUCGUGCAUUCUCGCAGUCUAAAUCUUGUACCCCCGAUCGAGGUACUCUGUUCAAAGUUUGUUGACUACGUUCGAAGCUAAGCCGUGUGGUCCUAGUGCCUCAAGCUUGUGUGUACACAAAAAAUUGGGUAUGGCAUCCUCUAGCACUCCGAGUUUAUACCCCAUUUUGUCACCUUUUCUCGGAUGUAUUGUAUUAUUCCCGAUCAGGCUGUAGCCUUUACCAUACAUUCGUCAAUGGAGAGAUUGCACUGUGGUCACUGCCACCAUCACCGUGCAUUGUUGCUUUUCUGCACCUGACGUAUGAAUGGGGACAUUCGGGGCACCCUUAUGCUUGACUGUCGUGCUUCGGGGCAUGUUGACGUUCAGCGGAGUUUGGUCAGCAUUCCUGAUUCGUAGCAAGAGGAAGCCCUUUUCCUCACAGAUCCUCGUGACGAAGCAGUGAAAGUUUAUCACUUCAUAGGCAAACUGUAGCCACUGGCACGACGACGUCUGCCAUCUCAGUGAUAGUUAAUUCUGUCGCAUGAAGCACGUUGUCCAUCCAGAGCUUGCGCAGAAGUUUUUCACCAAGAUUCCCUGCUUCCUCACAAUUGUGAGUGCCUGAUUUCUUAUCAUUUCCAGUGGUACAGCACAUCCUUCCUUGAGGAGUUCCCUUAUGUAUUGAGGGACCUCCUUAACUUAUGGAAACCUGGCAGUCUUCUCUUCUUUGAAAGCCUGGCAUGCCUUGUUUGUUCUGCUUGUUUGUCGUGCUGACCUCUCCAGUACAGGACACAAAUCUCGUCAAUGCUGAAGUGACCACCAGCAGUACGUUUGCCAUGCCCGAAGGGCGUAGGUACUCGGCAGCUUUCAACUUGAAGGCAGCUGUGUAACUUGCAUACUGCCCCAUGGCGAAACGACACGAAGGCUGACAAAACAUGGACAAAGUGCAGGUCGCACUGGCUGCCUUGCAAAAUGGCAAACAUGGGGCGUCGUCAGUGCCGUUGCUGGCAUGCAGGUGCCCUCAGUGCUGUGAGCCGACAUGUAAAAAGAAUGCUUACAUGUAAGAAAUCACUAGGAAGUAUACUUUUACUCAGUGAACUUUUUUUUAACCCAAAACACAAAUCCUGAACGCAUGUUCAGGUUUAACACCAACACCUGUCUCACAUCUGUCUUCCAGCAGGCGAGUUAUGGAUGCUGCGGUGUGUACUGGGCUACGGUUGUGUUGGAAGAAAAAUAAGCCGUCCUUAAAUGGGCCAUCCAGGGCGUAUGGUAUAAGGACUGUGUCCAGCAGGUCUAUGUAUGCUGCGUCAGUUAAGCGGCUGUUCAGGCGUACAAGGGGGCCCAAGCUGUCUUUGGAAAUGGAACCCCACACGUUGACGCUACAUUGGCCACUGCUUGCAACACGAUGCAGAUUGGGCACGUUGAACCUGGGCGAAGGAAGUGGGAAGAACACAGACAUUAUUUUACGUCACUGCGAUAACCACGAUGGUAGCGGGCCCUGGUCUUGACUGUUGGCAGAAUGCACUGCUUUUGGUAACCAUUUCUACGAGCUGCUUGUGUCCAACGCACAUAACAAGGCACUGGUUAAAUGUUUUUCGGCGUGUGCUCUCUCCUCGCGGUAGUGGAGUGCACGGAAUAUAAAUCAUUGUUUUUGAUGAAAACGCAUGCCUAGCCACCACAUACAUUUGCCCAUUCUAUCAUCUCUACAGGAAUGCAAAGAAAGCUAAAUGUUGUUGGUUAUUUUAUAGAAGCUGUGUAAAGCCCGCUUAGUGAAGCAGUCCAUCUACCGUGUGCUUUGUCCUCCACGUUUGCUGCUGCUGGUCCCAUUUUGAUGUAAACGUGCCCUCAUUAGUAAAAAUGACAUUCUGCCACUCUUUCACCGUCCAGAGGCCGUAUUCUGUAAAGCUUUCGUUUUUGAAGAAUUGGGGUGGAUCGACCGUUGACGUAAUGCAAAUGAAUGGAAGGACGGAGGCCAAUCAGGGGGGCGCGCAGGUUUUUUUUUUUGUGGAAGUGAACGUUACAAAAUUACGAACGCUUCUUGGUAAAUAAAAAAUGAUUAGUUCAUGGUAUUCAUGAGGUUUAUAUUUUUCAUUAUGAAAUGUGUGUGCGUUGUACUGGCGGUGAGUGACUGGGCGAAUUUUGUUUACUUCGGUUGACCCAUUUAUGCAGCUAGGUGGGACGUUGUACGCUAACUUGGCCUUCCGCUGCUCCCAGAAGUUCCUCGCACAGGCGGAGCACUCUCUCUUUUGAGAGUCUGAAUUAUUGCCUGAAUUCCUCGUCAGUCAUCUCAAAGGCGUCUUGUCAAUGUCUAUUUCGUCGCUGUGACUCGCUAAAAGCACGAGAACAGGUACCGCACACAUCGCCAUUUUGCUCUUAGUGCCGCGAUCUCGCCCGUGCACAUGGCACAUCGUGCUUCGAAUCAGACCAAAGCAGCGCACGCGGUUUCACUUCGUAGCAGACGUCAAAUUUGGUUUCCACGUGAUUGCCAUGUGCGUGACAUCAUCAAAAAAUGUGUUCGCGCCCUGAGAAGUCACCCAGGCGGCGACCAAUCGCAGAACGCUAAUCAAAUUCUUCUAAAAUGGAAGCGUUACAGAAUAUGGCCCCAGGACCAAUGCUCCUGGACAGCAGCCUUUUGAUCCUGUUUUUUGACAAGACGAAAGGCUUCGUCACCGCCACACAGCUACGAAGGCCAUUCAUGUGAAGGCGCUCGCGUACUACUUGUGUGCUGGCUGCGAGCCCAAGGUCGUUCCGUAUUUUUCACCAUCAUCUUCGGGUUUCGUCUCGCUCAUCCUCAGAGUCUGUCGUCAUCUUCAGUCGGUGUCUUCGGGGCAGAUUUGUCAAGCGAGCUUCCGUGCUGAAAGCCUGCACGGUACUGUUCAUUGACGAGCAGGGGCGUCUGGUCAUAUCGACAAUAUUUUGCUGUGGUAAACCUGCUGCAGACAGUCGCAAUCUGCAUACUUUCCGAGAUGGGUAUUCCUGGCAUUGCCGCUCGUGACUGAAACGGAGGCAUGUCUUGUAUUCACCAUAUAUAACUAUCUGUGGCUCAGCUUCUGCUGACGUCAGUACGACCAACAAUGCCGGGAGUUAUCAAAAUAAAGAAGGCCCUUUCUCGUCGGCCACUCCACAGGUGCUCGCACGGAAUAAACUUUCUAUUCUUUUGUGCAGAUGUUUAUCAUGUCUAAUAACACACGUAAGGCACAAUCUCGUAGCUGUAUCCUGUCUCCUACUUAAACAGCUUGCAGGCCGCAUCGCCAAAGCGCUUGUAACGAGUGUCGUCUGCUCGUACAGGUGCGAAGCAGUUUUUGCUGAAGUGUAGAAGUUAUCCAUGUAAACAUGUACCUUUGAUCAAGUAGUACCUGUGCAAAGGCUAAGCCAUGUGGUCCUGGUGUAUCCAGUUCUUGAAUCUGCCAGCACCCAGAGUUUAUAUCCAAAUUUCGUCACCUUGUCUCGGAUGUAUUGCCAUAUUCCUGAUCGGACUUUAGAUUUUACCGUGCAUUCAUCAAUAGGGAGGUUGCGCUGUGGUUGGAACAAAUGUACGCAUUCUUGAUUUAUGUGGUUCAGAAGCCAGGAUACAUACCCUCGAAGUAAUUGCCAACAGAUACCGCAGCUGCAAACUCUUCCGGAUCCCCUACACUUGAGAACGACAGCAGCGUGAGGAAAUGGUCCCUCAGUGUAAUAUUUCGUGGGAGAAGGCCACUGAAUAUUUCCAUGGUUUGCCAAUCGCGGCACUUUGACGACUCCCAUGUAGAUGGCGAUUCCAAUAAAUCUCAGCAUCUCCAGUGGAGUGACUUCCUCUCGGGAGCCGUCAUGUCGAGAGUAUGUCUGUCAAUCCAAAAUGCGCAUACGGGCGUAUUUAUUUGUGUUCUUGCACAGUCUCUAUCACCUUGGUAGUAAAAAACAAAAGAAAAAAAAAUUCUGCAGUCUUGAGAAUCGACGCAUGUCGCUCUGCAGCACUGCUUCGGCGCAGUGUAUUUGGCAAUAUACCCUGGUCGUACGUUGCUGGGACCCUAAACGCAAAAAUGAAACUGCAGUCAAAUAUGAAGCACAUUUUUGUAUAAAUGCAUGAAGUCAUAAACUAGAAUCGCCUGUGAGCAUCUGUUGACGUCCAAGGCACCUGAGCUGAAGUAUCUUCAUUGGAACUAGUAAAAUCUGAUGAUCCCACAUCGUUACUUGAGCCAUCACUACUGCUUGGGUCAUAAACUUCGCUACGUAAACUUUGCUACAGUGUACUUUGCUACGCCUCCUUGUGUCGUGGGCUUUUCUAAAGCAUAAUCUAAUUUAAGCAAUAAAUGUUAUCAGGUGUAAAAAAAAACUAGAUCUGGUCACCAGCACAGAAGGAGUUAAGCAUUGCAUUUGGGCAUUUACGCGAGUCCUUUAUUUGCUUUUUGGACAUUGCUUGACACAGAUUGAUUUUUGUCUUAAAUAGAGGGUCUCAGCUCAUGCUGUACACCAAGACUGCAGGAGGAUGUUAAUUGACCUCCCAGUAAACGAUGUGUGUAUCUACGUUUAGCUGUUAGUAUGAGGUGAGACAGUGCAGCAAAGUAAACCCUGAGGAACUUCCUUAGCUUUGCUGUAUUCUGUGAAUGAAUAUUUUGAAGGGUGCGUCUGCUUACCAGUAUGCCUGAAUUUAGGGCGUUGCACUCUUGGUGUUUGUUUUGUGUGCACACUUGGUGAGCUGCACCUAGCUUUAGAGUUCCUAUAACACCGAACAGUGAUUUUACAUGUCUGUGUCACUUAAUGUACUAGAUUGGGGCUGCAGCUUUGAGGCUAGCUUCAGCCUGGGGCAUACCUGUAGCAUAAUGCUGCUAGUGUAGUCCCAACACUACGAAUAGAGGCGACAUUUGCACUUUCUGUAAUGCCAUUUUAGAUACAGAACUCACCUGUUUCAUCGAGCGAAGUUCAGUAAUAUGCAAUUGUGGCAAUGCUGGAUUGCAGAAGUCUAUUUUUCAGUGAAAGGAAUGACGGGCCCUUUUGCCGUGUUUGCAAUGGCCUUCGCAACAAAAGGAUGGCACGCUGUGUCGUUUCACCUUCCUGGCAUCAGAUGGCACCACCGUUUAUUUGACUGAGCAAAAUCUGCAUUUGUAAUUCACUUCUGCAGGCAGUGCAUGCUUUUGAUUCAUUUUGUGCCAAAGAGGCAGCCACUGCAUGCAACUAAGCACAGUAUUGAACAAAUUUCACUGCAGAAGACGCUGCUCAAAGAACCAAAUGAACCAGCUUUGUUAUAAGAGCCAUUUAUACUGGUCUUUUGCAUUGGUGUAACAUUUCCCUAGGCCUCUGCUGUGGUGGCUUUGUGGAUAUUGAUCCCCUGCCAUGUCAGCUGUGCUCCGAUAGGGGCCCGCACAAAUGCUGGUGUGCUAUAAUUUGUGCUCGCAUCAUAGAAACCUCUUAAUAUUCUACAUUAAUUCCCCCUCUCCUGCUACUCUUUCUCAACCUGCGAGUAGCUUUUAGAUGUAAAAAAAAAAAUACCAUAAUUGGCACUGUGGUGUUUGAGCUGCACAGCGCGAUAGCUGGAGAAUUCCGUUAGUGUACUUCAUAGCCGAAAACGUGAUUACAGUUGUACUUCUUUGCGUCCAAUUUUUGUUAUGGGUAUGCCUCGGGCUGUCAUCGCAGCUUGCCGAGCGUCAUUGCAGCUCUGAUCUAUUUGUCUCGAGUUGUCUUUUGUUUUUUGUCCGACCGUGUUUUUGCGUGUGUGUGCCAGUCACUUGUGAUAUACUGCCUGUGGCAGUUGUUUGAACCUUCACCGAAUGAAGGUCAACAAGGUACCUGAGAAAUACUCACUUAUUUUCCUCACUUCAGGGAUGUGCCAUUUGUGCCACCUGUACAUUUUUUCUUCGCUGUACUGUGAUAUUUUUGCGCACUGAUGCACAUGUGCAUUGGUGUCUUCUUUCAGUUUUUUUACUAUGUCUUUCUGAUAGUUGCCAAAUAUACCUACUGAGAAAAAUGUCCCGAGGCACAUGUUAAUGAUGCAGUGACUCGUGGGCUAAAGGUUUACUCGAUUUAUGUUGCCUUGGUCAUCUGUACAUUCUCUGGAUAUUGAGUCCGCGUUCGUGCUUAUUAAAGCAUUAAAUACUACUGCCAGCAAUGUUAAUUGUUUUUUUACCAGUAGAGCAGAGCAUGUUUCAUGACAACUGGCAGUUUGUUUGUUGCAACAUUUGCGGACUAGAUCUGGUUGUGCAUGACUGCAUAUUGGCAACUUCUGGCAGCUUACAAAAGCUGGGAUUGGAAAUUAAACUAAGUACAUUAUCCCUUGCUUACAUUCAGAUAGCUUUGUUACUGUUGGCACUAGCCUCAUAAAAAAAAGUUACAGUAAAAUAGCUAGCCCAGUGUUAUGCAGGUGCUCUGAGGCAAAAAAAAAAAAAAAAUUUCUCAUGUUUCUCUAUGCCGGUGAUAUAUUUGUUGCGCAUACUUUUUUUUUUUUUACCUUUUCUAUUGUACUGCUAUCCUGAAUUUCUGGAUGCAAUGUUUGUCUCUUGGACCAUUGCGUAUUUUGUUUUAGUUUCAAUAAAGACCUGUCUUUGAUGAAUCAGUGGCAGCUUGUCACUUUUUACUCUUGAGGGGAUGGCUUGGAGCAUGCCGUGCUGUUACUCUACAAUAAACGGGAUUUGUCCUGAAAAAGGGCUUGAGGGUUUGCAAUACCAUUCUGAACCAAUGCUUAGAGCUAAAAUAGAUGGAGAAGCAUUCUUUCUUCCCCCUCUUUAGAACAUUCAUGUCCUCAUUCAGCUACUCGGCUGAAUAUGAAGCAUGUUGCCAACAUGCUGUUAUCAUGUUGUGCCUUAAAUGAUUGUGAUUGUUAGUGGCAGAGCCAUUGCCCUGGUGAAACGAGUUUAUAAGUGGUGUAAAGGACACUGCAGACUGAUGAAAUUGCUGUACCACAGGCACUCCAUCAGGUGCAGGUAGCGAACUAGCAAACUUGAGGCAAACUCAUGACAAUGCCUUCACCCGCUUAGUUCUGUGGCAUUCGCUGUUGGGUGACUCUAGGGCGUAGUACAUUAGCCCUCUCCAGUUGUGGCUGUUGAUCACUGUCAUGUGAUAAACAUGAAAAAAAGUAAGAUUUUAACGUAUAUGACAUUGUUGCACGCAACUUGAGAAUGUCACCAGUCAAACUUGAGCAGGGGACAGUAAUAAGCUUCAACUGAAGUCUUUUGCUACUUUAAAGGGCCCCUUGCCCAGCCAGUUUGGCCAUUGCGAACAGAUGAGCAUGGUGUGCAAGUCGCACAGUGGCAAUCGUGUCUGCAAAGUGUUAAGCGGCAGCACAGCGUGAAAACAAAUGCAAUUUUAAACAGAAGCCUGUCCGUCCUUCCUGUUAAGGGAGUCCCAUUUGCAGCCAAUGUCAUAGUCACAAACACAAUUUUCUCUACGUAAGCGUCGCUGCCUUCAACGUGACUGGUUGUUGCACGGGAUCUGAGUAAAUCGUCUUAUGCAAAAUGCACAUUGCCGCUCAUUUUGCCGAGCAAAAAGAGAAAGAAAAGGAAAAGGUGGGGCUUGCAAUGUAAACGUGGCAUUGUCCCUCCUGUAUGGGAGAAGGCAGGGAAGAAUAUUCGCUUGCUGACAUUAUUCAGGGCAGAAGGAUAGCGUGUCUACGUUGGCAAUGAAGCUUGCCUGCCAGCAGCAUGGCAAUGCAACAUUGAUUUCUCCCAUCUCCUUUAACAAUGGACUAAUUUGAAAUAUUCUUGCGUUAAAACGGUUCCUAGACGGUGCCCUACAACUUCCAGUGUAGAACAAAAAUUUACAACGAGGUGACUCCGAAUUUUUAAAGUUGCACGUAGUGGCGUGGGACAACUGAUUCGUGGACAACUGCUUCACGAAUCGUACCUGCCAGUUGCACUCUGGUUGUUCCAAUAGGAUUUUGCCCAUUUCAAGAUUACACUGAAGGCUUGCACACACUAGCUGUGCACAAUAACGGCACGAUGUAAACAGCACAGUAACAGCAGUUACUGUGCUGUUGGCUGCCGUUACUAACUGCAGCCAUAGUUUGGCAACACUCAUACUAGGUGAUGGUUGGAUUUCAAUGGGUGCUUUCAAAAAGGGGCAAGUUUCGCACUUUGGGUCGUGUUAAAAAAAAGCCUCAGUUGGCCAGAGGUAACUGAGAGCCCUUCACCUGAACUUAUCUCAUGGUGGCAUUUUCACUCGCAUCCACUCACACACGUGGCUCUUUAAUGCACACAAGUGAGUGUGUUCAGCCAUUCUUUUUGCUAGUCAUUCACGACGGCCAAUUACUUCGUCACUCACACUUGUGGCAUUCCAUCACUAAAGCUUGUGUCUGCACUUGACAGUGUUCACUCCUCGGAUUUUCGUUAAUUGAUCUAGAGCUUGGUGAACUGAAACAUAAAUAUGUACAGCAAAGGUGCUUUAUUAUUGCUCACACUGGCUCCUCGCACAAAUUACUUUACUGAGCUUUGUGUUUGGCAUUGCAUUGACGAAAACUUGACACUGCGGUAAACAAUGAAAGCCAGAAUGGGCUUACGCAUCUUUGCCUGUACACCUGCCGUGAUGGCUAACACAUUUUGCUGCUGAGAGUGAGGUCAUGGACCCAGUUGGCAUCUGCGGUAGCCACAUUUCAGUGGUGGCAGGAUGCAAUAGUGGUUGUGCACCUAAAUCUCGUGGUGGAUAUUUGUGGCAGAAAUAAGUUCUUCUGUAUCUCAAACAUUAAUUCACAUUUAAGUUGUUGCAAAAGCACUUGGAACAGAGUGAAAUUUCCGUUCACUUAGUGGAGCGUGUACGCUGCACAAUAGGCCUUGGUAAAUGCACUGAAUGCAUUUCAUCUGGGCAAUAUAAAGAAGCAUGCAGGAAGACUUGCCAGUGCUGUGAAUGCUGCACAUUUAAUGGGUCAACUCGAGCCUGUUUAGUACAGCUUCUCUACAUAGGUAAAAAGCAACACGAACAAAGGGACUAGAAAGAUUAGACAGGACCGAGUACCAAUGAAGUGUUAUUACUGAACCACAAUUUCAUACACUGAGAUGGGGGGAAAGAAUCACAUCACACAGUCUAAAACAAACUUUGCCUGUGUCAAGGCCUUGCAGAUGUAACAAACAUUACAAAAUGUUAGACUGGCCAGACAUUCGAUGUAUAUUGUAUCAAUUGUGCGUGUUGCCAUGGGCUCUUCAAAACAAAGUGGCACCUACCCACCUAGCAUUUGUUCAGGAUGGUAUGGCAAGACCUAAAUAGGGGUGCGCACGAAAUGCGGUAGGGGUAGCCUUGAGUGGUGGCGGAGGCAUGAAAUGUGUGUCACAGUUUGGAGCUGCACCAGUAUGCUCCGGAACUUUAUAUUUAAUUUCUCAAGGUAACAAACCUAGGUCUCAUGCAAACCUAGUGCUUCCGGGACCGUAUAUGCAAUGUAGCCUAAUGUUACAAGCAUUGCCGUGGCCGUUUUUGGGUGUUCGCUUUCUCACUCCCUGCACUUCGGAGACACUGUUAGCAUAAAUUAAAAUGCGAACCUAAAAACUUAUCUGUGAGCAUCACCUCCUAGAUGUGGUUUUCAGAGCUUGCAGUUUGGCAUGGCUGUGUAGCCUGUUGCCUGUAUUAACAAAGGUGCAUGCAAAUGUUGCUCUUUGUCUUCUCUUGAGUAGAGGGUGGCACUUGCGCUUGGCUGCAGUAGUCGCCACACAUUUUGGCACUCCUCAGUGGCAAUGAGUUGUUUGUCAGUGCUUUCAUAGGGAGGCUGAAAACCGCUGUUCGCAAGAUUGUGCUUCAGGAAUUGUUAGGGAACGUUGUCGUGUUGAGAUGGCUGCUUUUGCAUUGCCCUGCAUUUGGCAGGGUCAAGUUCGGACACCCUUGUGAAUCUGGCCAUAAAUCAUUGUGAAUUCAAAACAAAGACAGGCUCUGGUUUGAGGUUCGCAUUUCAAUUUACGACGACAGUACAGCUGGCCACAACAGUUUUUGGCAGCGGGAAGCUGAAAUCUUUUGCAGCCUGAGUUGCUGUCCUUGAAGUGGGAACUGCACUCGGCAGUUCGUUCAAGGCAAAAUGCUUGUCAGUGAAGUGCUGCAGCAGAAGUGUAGCAGCACAAGCUUCUUUGCUUUCCUCAUCUGCUCCAAAUUUUGCGUUAAUUUAUGCCUAAAAAAAUACUGAAAUCUUUGUGCUGAUUUUAGCAUUUAUGCAGGAUUAUUUAUUACACAAAGGUUUGUGAACAGCCUUUGUGUGGUAUUUGAAACUGGGGUGUGUAACAGCUCUUCGGGUAGCACUGGUGAAAUCAAACAGCUCAAAUCUAUUGUUGGGAUGACAUGGCAUGUUUGAUGUUGCCUGCGCUGAAGUUUUUGUCCAGUUUUAGCAAGGGGGCAGGGGGUCAUUUACAUUGUGCUAUUUUUACCCAUGUCACACGAGCACAGAAAAUGACAUCAACUUGCUGAUGCCUUAAGUUUCCAUGUCAUUUGCCUGACACCACAAAGACAAAGCUCUGUCAUUCGCCUUAAUGUCAUUUGUUACUUAAAUCAUUCGCCAGAACUCGUUCGACUGAGAAAUGCAUACUCUCAUCGCCAUAGCUUGCGCAUUGCAGUACAAUUCAAGCAUUUAAAACGGCCGCUAUCAAGUAAAAAAAAAAAAAAUCUUAUACGUAACUUUUAACGUGGAUGUUGUCGGGAGUUGUACUCGGCGAACUUCCACAAGUCUGCAUUGCUGUGGCUUUGAUACUGCAGGCGCCAUUUUGAUUUUGGGCUUCUAAUUGGACAUGCAGUGGGCCAAAGUUGCCAUGGUUGGUUGCAACGCUUUUAAAGACAGCAAUAAAAUCAAGCUAACAGCAUCAUUGUAUGCUUGUUUUUACAUUUCACUAUUUAUGAAGAGGGGUUAAACUUGUGAACACAUAUCUAUUUUUUAAUUACGACCCUAAAAUUUCUCACUUCGAAAGAUGCUGUCAAUAUUGUAACAGAUGUCUUUAAAUUUGGACUUAGCUGAAAAAUGUCAUUUGCUGUGCCCAUGUGGCAUGGGUAUUAGCCAGCUGCUUUAGAGACGUAAGAAUUUGUAGUCUAUUCAGUUUAACCAUCAUUAUCUGUGAAGUGAUAUUGUCAACUGUGGCUCGUGUACCAGUGAAAACAUUAUCUGUAGUUUGUGUUACAGCCUGUAAUUUGAUAUUACUUGCAGUUUUUGCCUUCCUUUUCUUUUUGCUUUUGAACAUUGUUAUCAGGUGGCGUUGCAUGUUCCUAGAUGUGGAAAGUUACUUUUCUGGUUGCUAACGCUAAAUCCUUAAUCUUCUAGGACAUGUCAGUGUCUUGUGGGCAUAUUACGCAAGUUUGUAUUGUCUGUAUUGACCUGUCAAUGAUGCUGCUUAUUGAUGAAUUUCUUUGCCGAAGCGCUCACAUGACUGUUUGAUUUGCAAAUUACUUUGUACGCUAUUUUGUGACCAUCCAUUGGUUCUGUUGUCAUUGCGAGAUCUGCUUCCCUACUUUGUGGGGAAGGACAAAAAUAAAGCCUAAGGUACGAAGGAGUAUGAAGUAGACUUUGUGAGUGCAGUUUUAUACCUUUUGAGGAAGUCAUUAACGUUCAAUAUUGACAUGCUGUUCUGUAAGCUUCUCUGUAGGUUUUUGCAAGCGUCACAGACCCUCACUUGUAAUCUCUCCGCUGUCAUUGCCACAAUGUGCGACCCUUGCCGUAUAUGCAGCUGUCGACAUACCUGUGCAACCAUUGCCGAAGCCUUCCACUCUGAAGAUGACCGACAUGCCAUGCAAAAUACCGUCCUAUAGCCAUCUUCACUGAAAUGCAGCUUUUUGACCAUCACCAUGUGCAUCUAUAGAGACUGCUCUCAAAUUCAACAGUGACCGGUUCAGGAGAACCACAGUGCGAGUGCGGAAAGUGUGUGCGCGUGUGCAUUUGUGUCGUACGGACUCGCCUGGACUGCACAGGACUGCCAAUGUGUUUAGCAAAUCUUGUAUGUGCGGCAUGUAGCCACGUUGCUUUGGAAUGCAAGUCAUGAAUUCAGUUCAAAGGACUUUCUUUUAUGCUGUUUCUUACGCUGUUUCGCUUAUUGCACUGUGUUUACAGAGUCGCUGUGAACCCGUUUGUUGAGCUGGUAUAACAGAGCAAUCUCAAUCAUUCGUCCACUAAUGAUUGCCAAACAGUUGAUCAAAUUUUUUAUGGCUUUGUUAUAACCUCGUACUUGAUGCCUGGAACUCAGAUAAUUUUCAGCUAUGAUAUCCAACCUAAUUUGGUAUAGUUAAGCAAGCGUGGGCUUCGAGUCUCAGUAUUAUUUCUUCAGUUCAAAUAAAAAGUUCAAGAAUGAUGUCGUCAACCUGUAUUUUCUAAUGAAUGAGGUUGCUCUCUAAAUAUGGCAAAACCACAGCCUGGGUUCAGCUCACAGUCAAGUGGUGCUUUUGACCGAAAUCAAAAGGUCUUGUAGGCUAAUGCAACAUUUCUUGCAUGACAGAAGAAGAAAAAAAAGCUUAGCCUUAAUAUUAUCACUACAUCUUGAUUGCAUCAGCUGAGCCAGGGUGGUGUUGCGAUGGUACUUGCGACAUUCCUUCCUUUUGACCGCUUCCAUCCAUGUACCGUUUUAUGAUCUGUCAUGGUGCUAAGCUCAAUUUCGAUUGACUUUUCGUACUUUGCAACAUGCAGUGGCGUGUUGAGAUGCGUGAACAAUGGCGUUUGUCGGUGCAGUUGGCGCAGAUUCUGUUUGUCUGUUUUGCCGGAAUGCUCUGAUGGUGUAUCGCUCACUGAUUCACUUGAAGUGGAUUUCAUUACUUGCCUCCCAGAGGGGAGCUGUACAUUUCCGAAACGCUGGUGCCCAAAUAAACACCCUUGUGUGACUUGA